CAGAGGUAUUAGAAUAAAACCUGAGCGAAGUAUUUAAAGUGGUGUUUCAGAUAGCCAGGUGUGGUGAGGAAGAAAUCAGACAGUCUCAUCUGUGGUGCUACAGUGGUUUAGAGAACAGCAAGGUACAUGUAUUUAAUUGGAAAAGGGUCAUAUUUGCAUAGCAACUUAAAUGACCGCAUUUGAGUCCUGGGAUGCAGAGGAUAUGAGCAAAUUAAGCAGGUUUUGAAGUUUGGAACAACAUCAAAAGAUAUGCAGGACACAGCUCAGAAUACAUUAUCACAUCCUGUCAGGCAGCAGGAACUCCAGAUUUUGAUGACAUGACUAGCUGGAUCAUUCUGCAUUUGUCCAGGAACAUGUAUUUAGAAUCCUUCCAGGAUUGCAGGUAA
This 386-nucleotide long non-coding RNA is filed under the name Numida meleagris (helmeted guineafowl). Its description in RNAcentral is "lncRNA (ENSNMEG00000010681.1)". The record is from RNAcentral. Lineage: Eukaryota; Metazoa; Chordata; Aves; Galliformes; Numididae.